UACGGGGGGAGCAAACGUUGUUCGGAAUUACUGGGCGUAAAGGGCGCGUAGGCGGCCUUCUAAGUCGAACGUGAAAUCCCCGGGCUCAACCCGGGAACUGCGUCCGAUACUGGAAGGCUUGAAUCCGGGAGAGGGAUGUGGAAUUCCAGGUGUAGCGGUGAAAUGCGUAGAUAUCUGGAGGAACACCGGUGGCGAAGGCGACAUCCUGGACCGGUAUUGACGCUGAGGCGCGAAAGCCAGGGGAGCAAACGGG
Molecule: ribosomal RNA, 253 nt
Filed under: uncultured bacterium
Lineage: Bacteria
Description: partial 16S ribosomal RNA
Rfam family: Bacterial small subunit ribosomal RNA
Source: RNAcentral